RNAcentral lists this long non-coding RNA (996 nucleotides) under Homo sapiens (human). Its description in RNAcentral is "HSALNT0374265". The record is from RNAcentral. Lineage: Eukaryota; Metazoa; Chordata; Mammalia; Primates; Hominidae.
AUAACAUUCUACUCUAGAAUUUUGGAAUGAUGAUCAAGCAUUCUGUCUUCCUCAUCUACAUGUUUUAGUAAUGGAGUUAAUGAGAUACAUGUGUAUUACUCUUUGCUCUGGUAAAUGGAGUGGCUGUCUCAGUAAUGGAGAGUCAGUGAGAUACAUACACAUCUACUAUUCUGCAGCCAGGUAAGAGGCAGAAAUUAUUUACAUUUUAGUGUGGCUGCAAGGAGGGCUAGAAUUUUUUGCCUUUUUUUUCUUGCUUCAGACUUGAGAGAUGCCGUUUCAGAUCCCUGGAUUCACCCCAUUUUGUUCGGGAAAAAGACAAAAAAAUCAAUUCACCCAGGAAAGCUAGAAUUAGGUGAGGAGUCAAGGGAGAGAGAUGUGCUUCCAUGUAUGGCAUUCUCCUCUAGCUGCUAUGAGGUCAGAGCCCAGCAAGCAGAUCCUCUGAGAGAAGAGCAUGUGCCCUGAAUGUGUUUCUUUGAUCAGCAAUAACCCUAUUUAUGCCUGCUCCUACUACCCUCUUCCAGCACACACAGGGUUAAACGUCAACAUAAAUAGCUUUGGACACAGUUAUGAAGGUAGAUAAAGACAGUAAACUCCGAAUUUAUUUUUUAUGCCUUUUCCUUCACAGAGGAGGAAAGUAAAUUGAUUCCUCUCUAGCUAUGAAAGUCCCAAUAACUCCUUUUCUCAGGGGGUGUUUGCCCAGAGACCUUAAGAAGUAUUAUGGACCGUAGAUCAUUUACUGCCCUAACUUCCAUACAAUAGGAUAGAAUUCUAAAGACAAGGUAGGAAGCAUUAAGUCUUGGUAAGUGUGCUUUGAGAAAAGUUGAUUUUACCCCUUUUGAAGAGAAAAGUCUGAAGUAUUACUGUUCCAUUCCCUCAUUGUCAUCAUUUCCAGCACCCUGUUUUAGAAAGUAAAUGUAAUCCUCAGCCAGAAUUGGAACAUGUCCAUAAAGAAAAGCUCCCUGUUUUUACCUGCUUCUGAUAUCAUUGUAACCCCAG